Molecule: ribosomal RNA, 324 nt
Filed under: uncultured eukaryote
Lineage: Eukaryota
Description: partial 18S ribosomal RNA
Rfam family: Eukaryotic small subunit ribosomal RNA
Source: RNAcentral
CCCUUAGAUGUUCUGGGCUGCACGCGCGCUACACUGAAGCUAUCAACACGUUUUCCCUCCCUGAGAAGGGCGGGUAACCUUUUGAAUCAGCUUCGUGGUAGGGAUCGGGGCUUGCAAUUGUUCCCCGUGAACCAGGAAUUCCUAGUAGACGCGAGUCAUAAGCUCGCAUCGAUUAAGUCCCUGCCCUUUGUACACACCGCCCGUCGCUACUACCGUUUGAACGUUUUAGUGAGGCAUUUGGACCGACGCAUCUCAGUUUAACCGCUGGUUUGUGUUGGAAAGACUUCCAAACUUGAGCGUUUAGAGGAAGUAAAAGUCGUAACA